Molecule: small nuclear RNA, 107 nt
Filed under: Phascolarctos cinereus (koala)
Lineage: Eukaryota; Metazoa; Chordata; Mammalia; Diprotodontia; Phascolarctidae
Source: RNAcentral
GUGCUCUCUUUGGCAGCACAUAUACUAAAAUUGGAAUGAUACAGAGAAGAUUAGCAUGGCCCCUGCACAGCGAUGACAUGCAAAUUCAUGACACAUUCCAUAUUUUU